RNAcentral lists this ribosomal RNA (445 nucleotides) under uncultured bacterium. Its description in RNAcentral is "partial 16S ribosomal RNA". It matches the Rfam family "Bacterial small subunit ribosomal RNA", at positions 354 to 796 of the family's 1533-position model. The record is from RNAcentral.
GUGAGGAAUAUUGGUCAAUGGACGAGAGUCUGAACCAGCCAAGUCGCGUGAAGGAAGACGGUUCUAUGAAUUGUAAACUUCUUUUGUGCAGGAAUAAAGUGGGUUACGUGUAACCUUUUGUAUGUACUGUACGAAUAAGGAUCGGCUAACUCCGUGCCAGCAGCCGCGGUAAUACGGAGGAUCCGAGCGUUAUCCGGAUUUAUUGGGUUUAAAGGGUGCGUAGGUGGAUUGAUAAGUCAGCGGUGAAAGUUUGCAGCUUAACUGUAAAAUUGCCGUUGAAACUGUCGGUCUUGAGUGCAAAUGAGGUAGGCGGAAUGUAUUGUGUAGCGGUGAAAUGCUUAGAUAUAACACAGAACUCCGAUUGCGAAGGCAGCUUACUGGGAUGCAACUGACACUGAUGCACGAAAGCGUGGGUAUCAAACAGGAUUAGAAACCCGGGUAGUCC